RNAcentral lists this long non-coding RNA (713 nucleotides) under Phoenix dactylifera (date palm). Its description in RNAcentral is "long non-coding RNA (PDAC_LNC019102)". The record is from RNAcentral. Lineage: Eukaryota; Viridiplantae; Streptophyta; Magnoliopsida; Arecales; Arecaceae.
AGAAGAGUGCCUAGAAUUCUUCAUGUCAGGGUAAUAUCCUGCGAGUAAACUCUCUCUUUUUAAUCGCCAAUAAAUAAUAUAAAUGCAGUCUACAGUUAGGCAGUCACUUGGACCCGUGAACACAGACCUAACCAGAAUAUCCAAGCCAAACUCAAAAAUUUAUGGUCGAGUAUGGGUCCAAAGUUAAUGUAUAAAACUUUUUUGAACUGAGUAUAGGUCUAGCAAAUGUCCAUGUGAACCAGACCAGACUGGACCCAAUAAUACAAUUAUUUAGGGCAUGGAGCUAAUUCUUAAGAACCUGACUCAAUCUGGAACUGAUAGCUUACCAGAUAUAUAAUGUAUACUUUUAUAAAUUUUGCAUUUCUUAUACAUUAUACUAAUUGCACUUUGAAGCUAUGUCAUAGUGAAUUAUCUUAAGGACUCAAGGGAGUUUGGCUCAAUAAAUAAUGGUAUCCACUUGGUACCUGGACCUGAUACUUAUCCAAUACAAACUCGACAAGGGGCGAGAAGCAUAUGGAUCUUAACACCACUAUUUACAAUUACUGACAUGACUUUAAACAUAGGUAACCACUUAAAGUUAUGGAGGAUUGGAGAUUACUUAUUUGGGGCUUGGACAGAUGGGGUUCGGCAGUUGGAUGAGGGUAUGUUGCCUACAGUAUGGAGAAUAUUUAAUAUGACAUCCUCUACUUUAAUUUACCAUGCUUAUCAAUUCC